This 4147-nucleotide long non-coding RNA is filed under the name Homo sapiens (human). Its description in RNAcentral is "non-protein coding lnc-AP3M2-2:1". Lineage: Eukaryota; Metazoa; Chordata; Mammalia; Primates; Hominidae. The record is from RNAcentral.
GUGUGUGUUCCCUGGGACCCUUCAUCCCAGUGGAUACUGAACUCUAAUUCUUGUUUCUGCAAAACCAUGAGACGGUCAAAAUCUCUUCACUCUGCUUUUCAGAGCCUUUCUGCUAAGCUUCUUAACCUUCUGUCUCAUGCAUCUUCAGAAUUUGGAAAAUGACUUGAGGGAGACUGACAUUAUUGGGCUCAAUUAUUUACCCCUCCCUUCUCACUGGGAAUCUGGCCCCUCUUGUUCUUAAGUUUGUCUCUCCAACUCUGCUGAACUGACAGAAUCAUCCCUGGUGGUGUCUUUGCCUGUUAGGGCCUCUUUCUAUACUCAGAACCAAAACUCAGACUCUGGCCUUAUGCCCAGAAUUUCCCCAAGGAAUGAAGGUACUGCUGAAUGUCAGCUCACCUCUAUGUAUAGUUUCCCCUUCUCUGAGAUUGUGUCCUCAUAAGUUCUGGUUGCCUCAGCAGCCUUCAAACAGAUGUUUUAUGUUUUAGCUGGCUCUCCUAAUUGUUUUCAGCUGGAUUAUUGGUUGGCUAUAAGUACCCCCAUCGUACUCAGAACCAGGAAAUGUUUUUCAUAUGAAAUGAUCUUGCCUUCCCCCUCAGUAAAAAAAAAAAAAUGUCUGAACAAGGCUCUGCUUGAGGUAUCAAGAUAUGGUUUACAACACUCUCAGUGUAUCAGAAUCAUCUCAGUACUUUUUAAUAAGUAAAAGAGUCCAGAAUUCCACACCAGACCUACUAGAUCCGAAUUUCUGAGAGAUUAAUUUGGCUCUGUAUUUUAAAAUGCUUUCCAGGUAUGAACAUUUGCUCUGACAACAAUUGAGUCAUGGGGACUGGAUUUAUCCUUCCCUCUUAAACAUCUGGAAAAAAAAUAAUAAUGGUUUUCUGACAAAAUAUAUGAAACAAUGGUUUUUAGACAUUGGACAAUAGACAGUGUAGGACAGUGAUUAAGGUAAGAGAAGUAAACAAGUUGAGCCAUCUAAUUGCCCCAGCCUACUGCCUUGCAACAGUUUCCAGACCAUGGGACAGGCAGUGGCAGAGCCCAAAGCCCAGCAAUACUGCUGACUUGAGGAGACAAAUAUCAGGCUUCAGGGAGGCCGACGUAGCUAAAGUUUGGAGGACAGAGAACCAGAAAGGGGAAAGCUACAUAUGUAUAUACAACUCCAAAUAUCUACAGAGGGGUCCUUUUGCUUCUUUGGAUGAGCAUUGAUUUGCACAUAUUUAAGAAGAGACUAAUUGGAAACUAAUUGGGAAAACAAACCACCAAAAAAGGGCAGGAAAAACAAUUCCCAGAGCUCCCAUAUGAAUGGAAAUUGUGCCUGUUUUCACCAGCCGAAUGGAAAGACCUAUCUGUACAUUUUGUCCUUAGUCCUCAGGAGGGUGUCAUCUUGGUACUGAAAAUGAAUUUGCCUAUAUUAAAAGGAGCGUGGGAGAUUUGAAGAAAUAAUGGCUGAAAUAGUCCCAAAUUUAAUAAAAACUAUAAACCCACAAAUUCAAGGCAUUCAAAGAACACGAAGCAGAAUAAAAAAUUGUAACCACAACAAGGCACAUUAUAGUAAAAUUGCUGAAACCAGGCGAAAGUCUUAAUAUCAGCCAGAAAAAAAAGAUAAUACACAGGAAAGAACAAAGAUAGGAAUUACAUUAGACUUGUUAUUAGAAACUAUUCAACCAAGAAAAAAAGUCUUCAGAUUGCUGAAAGAUUUUUAAAAAUCAACCUAGAGUUCUUUACUCAGCAAAAAUGUCUUUCAGAAAUGGAAGAGAAAAAUGUUUCAGACAAAAAAAAAAAAAAGCGGCUGGGCGCAGUGGCUCACACCUGUAAUCCCAACACUUUGGGAGGCUGAGGCAGGCGGAUCGCCUGAAGUCAGGGGUUCAAGACCAGCCUCUCCAACAUGGUGAAACCCUGUUUCUACUAAAAAUAGAAAACAUUAGCCGAGCAGGAUGGCGCACACCUGUAGUCCUAGCUACUUGGGAGGCUGAGGCAAGAGAACCGCUUGAACCUGGGAGGCAGAGGUUGUAGUGAGCCAAGAUCACCCCGUUGCAUUCCAGCCUGGGUAACAGUGUGAGAUUCUGUCUCAAAAAAAAAAAAAAGAAAGAAAGAAAGAAAAAAGCAACUGGGUGCGGUGGCUCACACCUGUAAUCCCAGCACGAUAAGAGCCCAAGGGAGGAGGAUCGCUUGAACCAGGAGUUCAAGACCAGCCUAGGCAACGUAGUGAGACCCCCAUCUCUAUCAAAAAAAAAAAAAUUGAAAAAUAGCUGGGUGUGGUGGCGCAUGCCUGUAAUUCCAGCUACUUGAGAGGCUGAGGUGGGAGGUUUGCUUGAGCCUAGGUCAAGGCUUCAGUGAGCCAUGAUUGUGCCACUGCACUCCAGCCUGAGUGACAGAGCAAGAACUUGUCUCAAAAAAAAAAAAAAAAAAAAAGGAAAAAAGAAAGGAAGGGAGGGAGGGAGGGAGGGGGAGAGGGGAGAGCAGGAAAGAAUAAAGCUAAGAUAGUUUAUCAUGAGAAAACAUGAACUUCCAGAGCAAGACCUUGUCAGAAAGAAAGAGAAGAGAGAGAAAGAGAGAGAGAAAGAAAGAAAGAAAAGAAAGAAAGAGCUAAGAUAGUUUAUCACUAGCAAACAUGAACUUCCAGAAAUAUUGAAGAUACUUCUUCAAAAAUAAUGGGAAAGGAUACUAGACUGAAAUUUUGAUUUGUAGAUAAAUGUUAAGAACUCUGUAAUUGUGAAAUGUGUGGAUAAGUACAAUUUUUUUAUUUAUAAGAUUAUUGUGUAAGGCAAAUUAAUAACAAUGUAUUAUGGGGUUUAAAACUUAUGUAAUAGUAAAAUGGAUAAUAGGGAGAAUAUGGAGAAAUGGGAAUAGUGGUUACAAAGUUUUACACUGUAUGUAUAGUGGCAAAUUAUCAUUUGAAGGUAGACUGUAGUAAGCUAAAGAUGCAUAUUGUAAACCUUGCAACAACCACUAAAAGUAAUAAUAAAACUAAAGUAGAGCUACUAGGCCAAUCGUGGAAAUAAAAGAGUCACAAAAAUACUCAAUUUAGAAGAAAACAGGAAAAGAAGAAAAAAAAGGAGUAAAAACCAGAUUAGACAAAUAGAAAACUAUAGCAAGAUGAUACACUUAAACUCAACUAUAUUGAUAAUUGUAUUAAAUAUAAGUGGUCUAAACAUCAAACUAAGAGGCAGAGAUUAUCAGAUUGUAUAUAAAAGCAAGAGCAAAAUAUGUGCUGUUUGUAGGAACACAUUUUAGAUAAACACAAAUAUGUUAAAUGCAAAAGAAUGAAAAAUACAUGCCAGGCAAACACGAACCAAAAGAAUGAUGGAGUGACAGUAUUACUAUCAAACAGACAGAUUUCAGAACAGGGAAUAUUACCAGGAAUAAAGAUUAAUAUUUCAGAAUGAUAAGAGAGUCAAUUUAUCAAAUAGACACAAUAAUCCAAAAUGCUUAUGGAACAAAUAACAGGCCUACAAAAUGCUGAAUCAAAAACUGAGAGCCACCAGGGCACGGUGGCUCACGCCUGUAAUCCCAGCACUUUGGGAGGCCAAGGUGGGCUGAUCACGAGGUCAGGUGUUUGAGACCAACCUGACCAACAUGGUGAAACCCCAUCUCUACUAAAAAUACAAAAAUUAGCCAGGCGUGGUGGUGCAUGCCUAUAAUCCCAGCUACUCAGGAGGCUGAGGCAGGAGAAUCGCUUGAACCCAGGAGGCAGAGGUUGCAGUAAGCCGAGAUUGCACUACUGCACUCAAGCCUGGGUGACAGAGGGAGACUCUGUCUCAAUAAAUAAAUAAAUAAAUAAAUAAAUAAAUAAAUAAUAAAAAUACUGAGCGCCUAAAGGAAAAAUAGAGAAAUCCACAAUUAAAGUUUAAGAUUUCAACACUAUGCUAAUAAUUGAGGUUUUUAAGUAGAAAGAAAAGGAGUAAUGCUUGAGCAAUAUUGUCGAUUAACUUGAGCUACUUGUUUAUAGGACAUUGUACCCAACAGCAAAAGAAUCCAUGUACUCUGCCAGUGUGCAGAAAAUAUUCACCAAGAUAGACUAUGUUCUGUGUUGUAAAAUAAAUUUUGAUAAAUUUAAGAGAUUAGAAUUAUAUUAAGUGUGAUUGCUGAUCAAAAUGAAAUUAGUCUGGAAAACCAAAUAUUUGCAAAUCAAACAACAUGAGUCAAACAGAAA